This 253-nucleotide ribosomal RNA is filed under the name uncultured bacterium. RNAcentral's name for it is "partial 16S ribosomal RNA". It matches the Rfam family "Bacterial small subunit ribosomal RNA", at positions 524 to 776 of the family's 1533-position model. The record is from RNAcentral.
UACAGAGGUCUCAAGCGUUGUUCGGAUUCAUUGGGCGUAAAGGGUGCGUAGGCGGCGCGGUAAGUCGGGUGUGAAAUGCCGGGGCUCAACCCCGGGACUGCGUCCGAUACUUCCGAGCUGGAGGUAGGUAGGGGAGACCGGAAUUCCUGGUGUAGCGGUGAAAUGCGCAGAUAUCAGGAGGAACACCGGUGGCGAAGGCGGAUCUCUGGGCCUUACCUGACGCUGAGGCGCGAAAGCUAGGGGAGCGAACAGG